This is a long non-coding RNA of Dermacentor albipictus, 376 nucleotides long. RefSeq lists it as uncharacterized. The record is from RefSeq and is a predicted model, not a curated record. Lineage: Eukaryota; Metazoa; Arthropoda; Arachnida; Ixodida; Ixodidae.
GACAACGCCGACGCUCGCCGCAAGAACGGGCGCGCCGCGCUCUGAAAAUAUUGCCCAGGAACCCUCUGUAGUGCUUCUGUGCGUGCUCGGCCUGCCCAGGCGGUGUGUACCAUUACCCCCUGAUGCGUGCACCCGCUUGUCGCUUCCCUACUGGCAUCCUGCGCUACCGAUGGCGGAGCUGCGAACGGCGAUCCAGUGACGUCAGAGGGAGGACUCGUCUUCGUCGCCUGCUACGCUCAGGUAGUCAACCUUGCCCUGGCCUGUUUUUCGUCUACCUACGCCCUAACCGGACCCGAAGUACCAAGAAUUCACCGUUCACUCCUCUCGGACUUACCCCCUCUCCUGUCUGAUCCGUCACCAGCAGAACGAUUGCCCG